UUGAAGCUUACUUUUAUUUUAUUACAUCUAAUUUAAAAUGUGUAUAUAUAUAUAUUCUUGCUAAGAUGAUAUUUUCAAAUGGAUCUAUUGAACGUGACUACACUGAAUUUGAAUUUCUGUUGAAGAAAAUUUGCUCCAAUCUAGCGUUUCUGAAAAUGUUACCAUCGAGAAACUCGAUACUCCUGUCAUUUUUGUGGAAAAUGCUUUCGAAAAAUGCAAAAUUUAAAGCAGCAUUACAUUGUACAUUCUUCCAGAGAUCAUGUAUGCCCAUUAUGUUCCAAAGCAUAUAAAUCACGAGCUGUAUUAAAUUUACAUCUCCAGGUUCAUGCACCUGAUAGCUUCCAGUGUGAUUAUUGUGACAAAACAUUUAGGUGGAGAUGGAGUUGGAAGAUGCAUAUAAAAAAGAUGCAUUCUUAAGCUAUUUUAAGAAAGGAUAUCAUAUAUGUCAUCUUUGUGGUAAGCAUUUCAACAAGUUGCAAUAUAUAAAGCAGCAUUAUGUUGUUCAUUCUGCCAAGCAACAUGUGUGUCCAUUGUGUUAUAAGGCAUAUAAGUUUUAAGCUGUAUUAAAACAUACAAUUCUCAAUGUUGUUAUUGUAAGAAAACUUUUCGGUGGAGGUGGAGUUGGAAGAUGCAUGUGAAAAGAUGUUCUAAAGAAAUAAUUUCUACAAAUUUAAAUUAAGAUAAGAAUCUCUUACAUUUUUUUUUUGACAUUUUCCUUUUUUUCAUAGUUGUAACAUGAAAAAUUACAGAAUUUUAUUGAAAACAUGAUUUUAAAUUAAAACAAUAUUAGAAAGUACUGUACAUACAUAUAUCAUCUGCUUAUAGACAUAAGUUUUUCAUCUGGAGAAUUCAUAUUCUUUUCAAAGAAAAAUGUUCAACUUUGUACAGUGAACUGCAA
Long non-coding RNA from Centruroides sculpturatus (bark scorpion), 898 nucleotides. RefSeq lists it as uncharacterized. NCBI's taxonomy places the organism in Eukaryota, Metazoa, Arthropoda, Arachnida, Scorpiones, Buthidae. The transcript has 3 exons. The record is from RefSeq and is a predicted model, not a curated record.